UAUAGAGAGAGAAGAAGAAGAACAGGAAAAGAGAGAAAUGCCGACAGCAGCUUCGUUGUGUUCGACUGCUACUCAAUCCCAAAUCAAUGGAUUUGGUGGGGGCCUUAAACUUCGAAAGUCAUCUAUCCCUACUCCUAAUUCAGUCACCUCGACAAGAAGAAAGUAUCAGGUGACAGUAAAGGCAUCAGCCCGCGUUGAUAAAUACUCUAAAAGCGACAUCAUUGUUUCUCCAUCUAUUCUCUCCGCUAACUUUGCCAAGUUGGGAGAACAGGU
Molecule: long non-coding RNA, 273 nt
Organism: Telopea speciosissima
Lineage: Eukaryota; Viridiplantae; Streptophyta; Magnoliopsida; Proteales; Proteaceae
Exons: 2
Source: RefSeq, a predicted model, not a curated record